GACGAACGCUGGCGGCGUGCUUAACACAUGCAAGUCGAACGGAAAGGCCCUGCUUUUGUGGGGUGCUUGAGUGGCGAACGGGUGAGUAACACGUGAGUAACCUGCCCUUGACUUUGGGAUAACUUCAGGAAACUGGGGCUAAUACCGGAUAGGAGCUCCUGCUGCAUGGUGGGGGUUGGAAAGUUUCGGCGGUUGGGGAUGGACUCGCGGCUGAUCAGCUUGUUGGUGGGGUAGUGGCUUACCAAGGCUUUGACGGGUAGCCGGCCUGAGAGGGUGACCGGCCACAUUGGGACUGAGAUACGGCCCAGACUCCUACGGGAGGCAGCAGUGGGGAAUAUUGCACAAUGGGCGGAAGCCUGAUGCAGCACCGCCGCGUGCGGGAUGACGGCCUUCGGGUUGUAAACCGCUUUCGCCUGUGACGAAGCGUGAGUGACGGUAAUGGGUAAAGAAGCACCGGCUAACUACGUG
RNAcentral lists this ribosomal RNA (468 nucleotides) under uncultured bacterium. RNAcentral describes it as "partial 16S ribosomal RNA". It matches the Rfam family "Bacterial small subunit ribosomal RNA", at positions 28 to 507 of the family's 1533-position model. The record is from RNAcentral.